GCUUACGGCCACACCGCCUGGUUCACGCCCGAUCUCGUUUGAUCUCGGAAGCUAAGGUAGGUUGGGCCUGGUUAGUACUUGGAUGGGAGACCGCCUGGGAAUACCAGGUGCUGUAAGUA
Molecule: ribosomal RNA, 119 nt
Organism: Scophthalmus maximus (turbot)
Lineage: Eukaryota; Metazoa; Chordata; Actinopteri; Pleuronectiformes; Scophthalmidae
Source: Ensembl